GGGGGUGUAGCUCAGUCGGUUAGAGCAGGGAACUCAUAAUUCCUUGGCCGCGGGUUCGAGUCCUGCCACCCCUAC
Molecule: transfer RNA, 75 nt
Filed under: Novipirellula galeiformis
Lineage: Bacteria; Pseudomonadati; Planctomycetota; Planctomycetia; Pirellulales; Pirellulaceae
Description: Planctomycetes bacterium Pla52o tRNA-Met
Rfam family: tRNA
About the family: Transfer RNA (tRNA) molecules are approximately 80 nucleotides in length. Their secondary structure includes four short double-helical elements and three loops (D, anti-codon, and T loops). Further hydrogen bonds mediate the characteristic L-shaped molecular structure. tRNAs have two regions of fundamental functional importance: the anti-codon, which is responsible for specific mRNA codon recognition, and the 3' end, to which the tRNAs corresponding amino acid is attached (by aminoacyl-tRNA synthetases). tRNAs cope with the degeneracy of the genetic code in two manners: having more than one tRNA (with a specific anti-codon) for a particular amino acid; and 'wobble' base-pairing, i.e. permitting non-standard base-pairing at the 3rd anti-codon position.
Source: RNAcentral